Molecule: ribosomal RNA, 468 nt
Filed under: uncultured bacterium
Lineage: Bacteria
Description: partial 16S ribosomal RNA
Rfam family: Bacterial small subunit ribosomal RNA
Source: RNAcentral
GACGAACGCUGGCGGCGUGCUUAACACAUGCAAGUCGAACGGAAAGGCCCUGCUUUUGUGGGGUGCUCGAGUGGCGAACGGGUGCGUAACACGUGAGUAACCUGCCCUUGACUUUGGGAUAACUUCUGGAAACUGGGGCUAAUAUCGGAUAGGAGCUCCUGCUGCAUGGUGGGGGUUGGAAAGUUUCGGCUGUUGGGGAUGGACUCGAGGCUUAUCAGCUUGUUGGGGGGGUAGUGGCUUACCAAGGCUUUGACGGGUAGCCGGCCUGAGAGGGUGGCCGGCCACAUGGGGACUGAGAUACGGCCCAGACUCCUACGGGAGGCAGCAGUGGGGAAUAUUGCACAAUGGGCGGAAGCCUGAUGCAGCAACGCCGCGUGCGGGAUGACGGCCUUCGGGUUGUAAACCGCUUUCGCCUGUGACGAAGCGUGAGUGACGGUAAUGAGUAAAGAAGCACCGGCUAACUACGUG